AUGAACCUCACGCUUAUCCCUUCUUCAUCUAUCAUUUCUGUGGAGGACAUGGGGCCAGUGGACAAGUACAGUGUGGGAUUUCAUGUGACUGGCCUGACAAUGGGCGUGGUCAGUCUCCGCCUCUCAGCAGUGGAUGGACAUGGGUCUGUUAUAAGCUCCUCUCACAAGAAUAUGCAAGUUUACCCUCCAUUCAGUUUGCAGCCCUGUAAACUUACUCUGUCAGUUGGAAGCUUGCCACAGGUUGGCAUGAUAAGACAUACCAAACCAUACAUUGGUUUCCAUAGAAACACUUUUUUUUAUUAUAAACAUAUAUUUGUUGUUCAGGUGAAAUGGGAGGGAUUCAUCCUCAGUAUGUUGUCAGGUUCUCUGUGAGUGACAGCGCUGUCACCAUGGUAACUGAGACAGGACGGGUCAGAGGUGUGGCAGUGGGUGUGGUCAAACUCAGAGGAGCUCUUCAGACACAAGAUACAGAAGCAUUGAUUACCUUUUUACAGGUAGCCCACAUUGCUUACCUUUGCUAAACAUGGCUUUCCAUAGUUUUUUUUUUAAGUUUUUUAUUUUUACUUUUUAAAGCCAUUUGUAAUUAAUGUCCUGCCUUGUGGAGCCAUACAGCCCAUACAAAAUAUUGUUAUUUACUGACGAUCAUAUAGCAGUAGACAUAGGGACUGUUCACACUGCACAUUAUUGCAUUUCACUUAGUCCACGCAUGGCACAGCAUUUUAAAAACAUGGUGCUCAAGGUAAAGUUCAGCUUUUAAAAAAUGAGUCUCUAGUUCACAUUCAUGCAGAAUAUGCUUUUGCUUUAAAAUGGCAAUGUUUAGGGAAGCAGAUUUUAAAAAAAAAUGGUCUAGAGACACAUAUUUUAAAAGAUCAGCUUUAUUUUAACUUGAGCUCCAUGUUUUUAGAACAGUUUGUCAUGCAAAAGAUGCAAACACAGUCAAAAAGUUCAUGUUUACAUACAAGAACAACAGAAAAGGUCUUCUUACGACUUUUAAAAAACACAUUUUACAUGUUUUUGUCAUUUCAACACAAAAACACAUUUUGUGUGAAAUGCCUCCUACUUAGAUACUGACGAACGAAAAAUGUAUGCUUGAUGUGAUUUUCCAUUGCCGUGACACCCAACAUGAAUAAUAAAUGACUACUUACCCAAUGCA
Long non-coding RNA from Cyprinus carpio (common carp), 1153 nucleotides. The record is from Ensembl. NCBI's taxonomy places the organism in Eukaryota, Metazoa, Chordata, Actinopteri, Cypriniformes, Cyprinidae.